UCUCACACUCAGCAGAAAAAAACAAAAAUCCUCACCCACCACUCACAGCUCACUCACAUCUCCCUCGACUUAAAUUCCUCACAAAACCUUCAUUCUCUCGACUCUCACUCACAAAAAUCUCUCACAAAAAUACUCACAGAAAAUCUCUCUUCACUUUCUCAAACCCUCACAAGAAAAACCCUUUCCUCAUUCUCUCUUCCCUCUCUGCGAAAAUCCCUUCAUCUCCCUUCCACCCAAACAAAACCCUCGCCGCCACGGAUUCGUCACCGCGAGAACCACCGAAAAUCUCCUUCCACAACCCACACCUUCCAAUCAAAAACAAAUC
Molecule: long non-coding RNA, 325 nt
Filed under: Lathyrus oleraceus (garden pea)
Lineage: Eukaryota; Viridiplantae; Streptophyta; Magnoliopsida; Fabales; Fabaceae
Description: Pisum sativum (pea) long non-coding RNA (PSAT_LNC028149)
Source: RNAcentral